UUCCCUUGGCAAUAGGCAGAGACACCUUGUUGAGAUUGCUCUCAUAUCAGUGAGGGGCAGAGCAGAUGGCAGUCCUUUGUUCAUGCUAGUUUGAUGUCUGGCUUGGUGACCAAAGCUAUAUUAUGUCUAGGACACAUAA
This is a small nucleolar RNA of Rattus rattus (black rat), 139 nucleotides long. RefSeq annotates it as small nucleolar RNA SNORA48. Lineage: Eukaryota; Metazoa; Chordata; Mammalia; Rodentia; Muridae. The transcript has a single exon. The record is from RefSeq and is a predicted model, not a curated record.